RNAcentral lists this ribosomal RNA (253 nucleotides) under uncultured bacterium. Its description in RNAcentral is "partial 16S ribosomal RNA". It matches the Rfam family "Bacterial small subunit ribosomal RNA", at positions 524 to 776 of the family's 1533-position model. The record is from RNAcentral.
UACGUAGGGUGCAAGCGUUAAUCGGAAUUACUGGGCGUAAAGCGUGCGCAGGCGGUUGUGCAAGACAGAUGUGAAAUCCCCGGGCUCAACCUGGGAACUGCAUUUGUGACUGCACGGCUGGAGUGCGGCAGAGGGGGAUGGAAUUCCGCGUGUAGCAGUGAAAUGCGUAGAUAUCGCUUGGAACGCCGAAGGUGAAAACAGGCUGCUGGGGUUGCGCCGACGCUGAGACACGAAAGCCAGGGGAGCAAACGGG